GACGAACGCUGGCGGCGUGCUUAACACAUGCAAGUCGAACGGAAAGGCCCUGCUUUUGUGGGGUGCUCGAGUGGCGAACGGGUGAGUAACACGUGAGUAACCUACCCUUGACUUUGGGAUAACUUCAGGAAACUGGGGCUAAUACCGGAUAGGAGCUCCUGCUGCAUGGUGGGGGUUGGAAAGUUUCGGCGGUUGGGGAUGGACUCGCGGCUUAUCAGCUUGUUGGUGGGGUAGUGGCUUACCAAGGCUUUGACGGGUAGCCGGCCUGAGAAGGUGACCGGCCACAUUGGGACUGAGAUACGGCCCAGACUCCUACGGGAGGCAGCAGUGGGGAAUAUUGCACAAUGGGCGGAAGCCUGAUGCAGCAACGCCGCGUGCGGGAUGACGGCCUUCGGGUUGUAAACCGCUUUCGCCUGUGACGAAGCGUGAGUGACGGUAAUGGGUAAAGAAGCACCGGCUAACUACGUG
Molecule: ribosomal RNA, 468 nt
Filed under: uncultured bacterium
Lineage: Bacteria
Description: partial 16S ribosomal RNA
Rfam family: Bacterial small subunit ribosomal RNA
Source: RNAcentral